GGAUUGUGGCUCAGUGGCAGAGUGCUUGCCUCAUACAUGUGAGGCUCUGGGUUCGAUCCUCAGCACCA
RNAcentral lists this transfer RNA (68 nucleotides) under Marmota monax (woodchuck). Its description in RNAcentral is "tRNA.Met". The record is from RNAcentral. Lineage: Eukaryota; Metazoa; Chordata; Mammalia; Rodentia; Sciuridae.